This is an RNA transcript of Formica exsecta, 3494 nucleotides long. It is a transcript of the gene named protein Malvolio, with no coding region annotated. The transcript is spliced from 13 exons. Lineage: Eukaryota; Metazoa; Arthropoda; Insecta; Hymenoptera; Formicidae. The record is from RefSeq and is a predicted model, not a curated record.
UGUCCAAGUUCGCAGACUUGCAGCUUGUCUAGUACGAACAGUCCUUACGCAGUGUGUGUGCUGGUUACGUCGUAGUCAUAUAAUUGCGACAGUCGCGAGUCGCGAAUGAUCUACGAUCAAUGAUCGCAACACGUAUAGGGUAUUGUAUCAAUACACAAAAUGCAGAAUAAUUACGACGUGAAAGCCAGUGGUGAUGCCACCACUGUCACAACAGUGCCACAUCAACGUAUGCACGAAGCAGAAAAUAAAAGGGCCACUGAGAACACCUCCUUAUCUCCGAACAACAAUCAGACCUAUUUUGCUGAUGAAAGAGUGCCAGUGCCAGAAAUAGCAAGUGCAGGAUUUAGUUUUAGGAAAUUAUGGGCUUUCACAGGACCUGGUUUUUUAAUGUCUAUAGCUUAUUUGGACCCUGGUAACAUAGAAUCAGAUCUACAAUCUGGAGUGGUAGCAAGAUAUAAGUUAUUAUGGGUGUUAUUAAGCGCUACACUCUUAGGUCUUGUUAUGCAAAGACUCAGUGCGCGUCUUGGUGUAGUAACUGGUCUACAUCUAGCAGAAAUGUGUUACAGACAAUACAAAAAAGUACCUAGAUUUAUUUUAUGGAUAAUGAUUGAAAUAGCUAUUAUCGGUAGCGAUAUGCAAGAGGUAAUAGGAACGGCUAUUGCCCUUUAUCUCUUAUCAAAUAAAGCGAUUCCUAUAUGGGGUGGUGUACUUAUUACAGUAAUAGAUACAUUUACAUUUUUAUUCUUGGAUAAAUACGGUUUGCGGAAAUUAGAGCUUUUUUUUGGUGUUCUCAUUUCUGUCAUGGGUAUUACCUUUGGUUAUGAGUACAUUGUUUCCGAACCUUCUCAAAUAGACGUUAUAACUGGUAUGUUUGUCCCAUGGUACAAUGGGAUGAAUUACGACAACAAGGUAUUACUUCAAGCUGUAGGAAUCGUUGGCGCGGUCAUUAUGCCGCAUAAUUUAUACCUUCACAGUGCCUUAGUCAAAUCGAGAGAUAUCGAUCGAAGACAACCCGCAAAAAUCAAAGAUGCGAAUAUGUAUUACUUUAUUGAGGCCUGCAUUGCAUUGUUUGUUUCAUUUAUAAUUAAUGUGUUUGUAGUGGCUGUAUUUGCUCAUGGCCUUUUUGACAAAACAAACAAUGAUGUUUACAAAAUUUGCGAGGCGAAUAAUUAUACCCUCGGCAUGGAGACUUUUAAAGAGAAUAAUGCGACGAUAGAUGCUGAUCUUUACAAAGGAGGGAUCUUCCUCGGUUGUUCCUUUGGCGCAGCCGCGAUGUAUAUAUGGGCCGUCGGUAUUUUGGCCGCCGGUCAGUCGUCUACAAUGACGGGCACUUAUGCCGGUCAGUUCGCAAUGGAAGGAUUCCUGAAUCUGCAAUGGGCUCGUUGGAAGCGAGUUCUCUUCACUCGAACGAUCGCUAUAGUUCCUACGUUCUUAGUAGCGUUCUUCGCCGAUAUGGACAAUUUGAGUGGCAUGAACGAUAUCUUGAACGCUAUAAUGAGUUUGCAAUUACCAUUUGCCACCUUACCUACAAUUGCUUUUACGAGUAGUGUUCAGAUUAUGGGUGAAUUUCGAAACGGAAUAAUAAACAAGAUUGUGUCGACCGCACUAUCGAUUCUAGUUAUAAUGAUAAAUAUAUAUUUCGUGAUACAAACUGUUCAAGAAGACCUGCCCCAACAUUGGGCUGUAUUUCUAGGCAUGUCUAUAUAUGCGAUUUUAUAUCUUAUUUUCUGCGCCUACUUGGCUAUUCAUAUGGCUGUGAGCAUGGGUGCAACUUCUCUCGGUAAUCAUUGGUUUGUUACUAAAUAUAUUGGUACACCUGUGAGCCCAACGCUUGGUAUAUCGAAUCCUGCUGUUUAUGCCAGUGAAAUAUUUUAAUCGGAAAAUUGUAUGUGAAGAACUAAUAUGAUUUUGUGUGUAUAAUUAUACACAAAAUGUUUAGUGCAAUUGAAUAAUUUUAUGAAGAAAAUUAUUUGUUGGUGUAUAUGUAUGUGUAUAUUUGAUAUAUAUGUCCCUCUUAUGUUGCACGAUUCGGCAUGUACAUACACUAACAAUUUUUUGUAUAGAACUUACUUUUUUUGCAAAAUGUAAAUUUACGCAAAUAAAAUAUAUCAUUUUUUACUAUAUAAAAUAAAUUUGAAAACAACAAGAUGUGUUUUUAAAAUUUAAAACUAACAAACUUAAUAAAAUGCUUAAUUUGGUGCUUGAAUAUAUAUUUUUCCUAAGACCAAAGGUUGUGGGAAAUAUGUGUUGUGGGAAUGAUUAGUGGGAAUAUAAAGUUUGCUCUAUAGUGUAAUUUUUGUGCCGAAUUAACACAGAUAAUUGCAAGCGAUGAGCCAACUGAUUUGUGACUCACACCAUGCUUUUUGCACCUUUCUACCGUAAACGAUAAUUAACUCUGCAUUAUCUACACUAAUGAGAUUGAAUUUCAAUGUUUGCACUUGUUUGGCCAGGUCAUGCAACUAAAUCAUAAUUUGGUAUGCCAAGUGCUCUAUUUGCUACAAGUUUUCACAAUACGUUGGAAACAUCGUUAAACAUUUAGUCGGAAUAAUGCAAUUGAAUAUGCGAGACAAUAUGCGACUCUUGUAUAUUCCACAAACAUGCGAAUAUGUCACGUUGGAAAGGUGUUUGUAAUAUCUCGUGACGUCAGCAUGUGAUGCUCCAUGGUAUGUGUACGAUCAGUUAUUCUCGAUAUAUUGUGCGAAAAAAAUAUAUUCUUAUAUUAAACAAAUGAUGCUUUAUCAUUGUGAUAUGCUUUAUCUCCAUUAUGCAAUGAUAAUUCUGCUAUAGCGUGAAAUAUCUUUGUUGUUCUACUGUCAAUUUCUUCGUUUGGUUCCAUUAAUUCUUAUUAAUGUGUCUCUAAAAGAAACUCAUGUAUGACGAGUGAUUAACUGGAACUAUUUUCGUUGCAUGCAAAAAUUUUUAACACACGAAAGUCUGAGCUUGAAACGUUGACUUGUCUCGUCAUAAUGAAGGUAAGGAUGCUACAUCGAGAUUUAUAGUGUUGUCUUGAUUCAACUUGGAUCUAUUUCAAGACAUAUAUUUAAAGUAUCUUAAAUGUUAAAUAUAUUGCAGAACAAAUCCAGCAUUCACCAUUCAAGAAAGUUUGCGUGGCAGUUUUACAUCAAUAGCAGAAUACUAACUCAUUAGCGACAACUAUAUCUGCAAUGAGAUUAUGUUCAAGUGAUAAACGUCUUCAAUUAUACAAGAGAUAACUUUUACUGCCUUGAAGAAGAAAUAUUGACAUUCCUUUAUUAAAAACACAUUUAUUUUGAAUAGGAUAAUUUAUUACAUCAAGGAAGAACAUUGGAUAAUUUAGACAGUAAAUUAGCACAUAUUGAUUAAGAUAAAUAACGUAACAUCUGAAUCUUAUAUAUUUGACAAUCAAUUUUUAUUCGAAUAUUUUUGCUUUAAUGAUAUAUUUCAUAAGUUUUUGACAUAUGUGUAUAAAAAUUUUCGAUGUUGCAAAAUAUCUAUAUUAAAAUGUUACUUUUACA